Molecule: ribosomal RNA, 828 nt
Filed under: Lactiplantibacillus plantarum
Lineage: Bacteria; Bacillati; Bacillota; Bacilli; Lactobacillales; Lactobacillaceae
Description: bacterial SSU rRNA
Rfam family: Bacterial small subunit ribosomal RNA
Source: RNAcentral
AGUCGACGAACUCUGGUAUUGAUUGGUGCUUGCAUCAUGAUUUACAUUUGAGUGAGUGGCGAACUGGUGAGUAACACGUGGGAAACCUGCCCAGAAGCGGGGGAUAACACCUGGAAACAGAUGCUAAUACCGCAUAACAACUUGGACCGCAUGGUCCGAGUUUGAAAGAUGGCUUCGGCUAUCACUUUUGGAUGGUCCCGCGGCGUAUUAGCUAGAUGGUGGGGUAACGGCUCACCAUGGCAAUGAUACGUAGCCGACCUGAGAGGGUAAUCGGCCACAUUGGGACUGAGACACGGCCCAAACUCCUACGGGAGGCAGCAGUAGGGAAUCUUCCACAAUGGACGAAAGUCUGAUGGAGCAACGCCGCGUGAGUGAAGAAGGGUUUCGGCUCGUAAAACUCUGUUGUUAAAGAAGAACAUAUCUGAGAGUAACUGUUCAGGUAUUGACGGUAUUUAACCAGAAAGCCACGGCUAACUACGUGCCAGCAGCCGCGGUAAUACGUAGGUGGCAAGCGUUGUCCGGAUUUAUUGGGCGUAAAGCGAGCGCAGGCGGUUUUUUAAGUCUGAUGUGAAAGCCUUCGGCUCAACCGAAGAAGUGCAUCGGAAACUGGGAAACUUGAGUGCAGAAGAGGACAGUGGAACUCCAUGUGUAGCGGUGAAAUGCGUAGAUAUAUGGAAGAACACCAGUGGCGAAGGCGGCUGUCUGGUCUGUAACUGACGCUGAGGCUCGAAAGUAUGGGUAGCAAACAGGAUUAGAUACCCUGGUAGUCCAUACCGUAAACGAUGAAUGCUAAGUGUUGGAGGGUUUCCGCCCUUCAGUGCUGCAGCU